UAAAGGAUUUUAGAAUACCAUCCCCCAUUUUCUAUACUUUCAUAGUUGUUCUGCCUUCCCUGGAAUGUUGGGAAUCUGUAACCCUAGAGACCUAACUUGACUAGAAACUGACUGCUUCCUUCCCGACCCUAUCAUUGAAGGAGCAUUAAAACUAAUUUAAUUCAUAAUUUAUAUAUCUGUAUCACAGUGUACAGGUCCAUUUAUUUAAGGGGAGAAAUACCCAUUUCCAGUUUCACCACUAUAAACAGCUGAUUUAUAAUUAGACCAGCAGACAGUUUACUGGGAAUCUGUUUCCCUACGAGCUGGAGUUUGAUAUCUGGGUAUUUUCAACAAAUCUCUACUAUAGCCAAAUGAUAGAAAAGCUCAGGUUCUGCUCCCUUGACUGAAAUUUAAAUGUCCUGUACUGGGGUCCUUCCUAUAACUAACGGUAGAUGUCAGAUGGUAUAUCUUUCCUCUAAACCAGAGUAGACCUCUUACAAUAAAGCUUCUGCCCAAGAAUAUCAUCUAAUCAUUCAUGUCUCUCUCACCCUCUUCUUAGUAGCAAUAAUUUCUAGAUGAAACAGAAAACCAGAGAAUGGUAACGCAUCAGUAUUAAUCCCCAGCACUUCCAAAAACUUGAAGAAGUGACAACACAAGAUGCAUGUCUGAAAAGAGAUUUAAGGAUCAGAGAAACAUAGCCCAUAAUAAUCAUCACAUCUUUCAAGAUGAAAGCAUUUUUUUGACUCUUGGGCCAGGACUGCAACCGAAUUUCAGGACCCAGCACUCCCUUACCCUCAGAAAGAUGGAGCUGUCAGCACCUCUGACAGGACUCUGCAUCUAAUACUCGGCUGACCUUGUGGCGUGCAGAGGAUUUACUACACACGAAUCUGUGGCUGUUUAACUGAAUUGAGAUGGGACACAGGAAUCUGGCCUACAGAUCUAUGGAAAUCACAGAUGCUCUCAGCUAUUGACCUACUUAGGGUACAGAUCCUCAGAACAGAUGAUUUAUUAUGACUAAACUCAGGAUAUAUCUAUAGUCUCAGAGUUUAUGUACCUAGAGCCUUUGAGGAUGCAACGUGUACCAAAUCCUAAGUACUUUUCACUCCUGUAGUUACUAUCAUUGCUUUGUUUUGUUUGAGUGGUUUUCUGUUCACCUGACUUAUCUCCUCUAUUAUAUUAAUAGAACCUUGGGAAUCGGUGGCAUAUUCCAAAAACACAAUAGACACUUACAUACUUCAGAAACUGUAAAUAAAAAUUCCUUACCUACUCUGUG
This is a long non-coding RNA of Felis catus (domestic cat), 1252 nucleotides long. RefSeq lists it as uncharacterized. The transcript is spliced from 3 exons. The record is from RefSeq and is a predicted model, not a curated record. NCBI's taxonomy places the organism in Eukaryota, Metazoa, Chordata, Mammalia, Carnivora, Felidae.